GGGGUUAUGGCUCAGCGGUAGAGCGUUCACCUCACAUGUGCACGGCCCUGAGUUUGAUCCUCAGCACCA
Non-coding RNA from Ictidomys tridecemlineatus (thirteen-lined ground squirrel), 69 nucleotides. NCBI's taxonomy places the organism in Eukaryota, Metazoa, Chordata, Mammalia, Rodentia, Sciuridae. The record is from Rfam.